RNAcentral lists this non-coding RNA (94 nucleotides) under uncultured Ruminococcus sp. RNAcentral's name for it is "THF riboswitch". It matches the Rfam family "THF (Tetrahydrofolate) riboswitch aptamer". Rfam says of the family: THF riboswitch presents a pseudoknot that joins P1-P2 and the loop of P3 and two THF binding. Lineage: Bacteria; Bacillati; Bacillota; Clostridia; Eubacteriales; Oscillospiraceae. The record is from RNAcentral.
AGAGUAAAAGUGCGAUCGUUAAGUGUCCGCCGAACGGGGAGUUGUCGGAGGAACGAAAAGUCCUUGACUUGCGGAUCGUGCUUUGCAUCCCGCU